UACGUAGGGAGCAAGCGUUGUCCGGAUUUAUUGGGCGUAAAGGGCUCGUAGGCGGUCUGUUGAGUCAGUUGUGAAAUCUCCGAGCUUAACUCGGAACUGUCAGCUGAUACUGUCGGGCUAGAGUGCGGAAGAGGCGAGUGGAAUUCCCGGUGUAGCGGUGAAAUGCGCAGAUAUCGGGAGGAACACCAAUUGCGAAGGCAGCUCGCUGGGACGUUACUGACGCUGAGACGCGAAAGCGUGGGGAGCAAACAGG
RNAcentral lists this ribosomal RNA (253 nucleotides) under uncultured bacterium. RNAcentral describes it as "partial 16S ribosomal RNA". It matches the Rfam family "Bacterial small subunit ribosomal RNA", at positions 524 to 776 of the family's 1533-position model. The record is from RNAcentral.